AUUGAAAUGGGGGCACCCUGAUCCAGCCAUCCCGCGUGCAGGAAGAAGGCCUUCGGGUUUCNAACUGCUUUCGGACAGAAAGAAAUCGUUCGCUCUAACAUAGCGGAUGGAUGACGNUACUGUAAGAAGAAGCACCGGCUAACUCCGUGCCAGCAGCCGCGGUAAUACGUAGGGUGCGAGCGUUGUUCGGAAUCAUUGGGCGUAAAGGGCGUGUAGGCGGUCGGGUAAGUCAGAUGUGAAAGCCCUGGGCUCAACCCAGGAAGUGCAUUUGAAACUACCUGACUUGAGUAUGGGAGAGGGAAGCGGAAUUCCUGGUGUAGCGGUGAAAUGCGUAGAUAUCAGGAGGAACACCGGUGGCGAAGGCGGCUUCCUGGACCAAUACUGACGCUGAGGCGCGAAGGCGUGGGGAGCAAACAGGAUUAGAUACCCUGGUAGUCCACGCAGUAAACUGUGAACACUAGGUGUAGCGGGUAUUGACCCCUGCUGUGCCGAAGCUAACGCAUUAAGUGUUCCGCCUGGGAAGUACGGCCGCAAGGUUAAAACUCAAAAGAAUUGACGGA
Molecule: ribosomal RNA, 560 nt
Filed under: uncultured bacterium
Lineage: Bacteria
Description: bacterial SSU rRNA
Rfam family: Bacterial small subunit ribosomal RNA
Source: RNAcentral